UCUCUCAAAACACACCUUUUAGUGCCAGCUCCUGAGUGUGAAUAUACAUGAUUGUAGUUAGAUGUCCCUGCAUUCUGACAAGUGAUUUGACUUGGGAGACAAGGGGUUAUUGUGGUCUCUUUGCUUUCCUAAACUGAUGUGUGUGGCCUUGGGGAGCAUAGGGAGUCUGGGGGGACAGGGCUCUUUUCUGCCACCUGGGACCUAGGAUUUAAUUGUGCCCCAUCCUCCCAUGAGAUAUAUAUCAGGAGGGAUAGAGAAAGCUUGGGGUAGGGGGCUCCUAGGCAGGUACCACAGGGUCCAUACUGGCAGCAUAUAAUAGGACUGGAACCACUUUUCUUUUCUAGGUCUCUGGCCAGUAUCGCUUCCACCUGUCCACAAACAUGGGGAAUAUCUUUGCAAACCUCUUCAAGGGCCUUUUUGGCAAAAAAGAAAUGCGCAUUCUCAUGGUGGGCCUGGAUGCUGCAGGGAAGACAACAAUUCUAUACAAACUGAAGCUGGGCGAAAUUGUGACCACCAUUCCCACCAUUGGUGAGAAGCUGGGCCAGGGUGGGGGUAGGGUGUGGGGAUCCAGAGUAUAGAGGGCCCUCAGCUACAACCCUGACCCCCAGGUUUCAACGUGGAGACUGUUGAAUACAAGAAUAUCAGCUUCACCGUGUGGGAUGUGGGUGGCCAGGACAAGAUUCGGCCGCUGUGGCGCCACUACUUCCAGAACACCCAAGGUAAAUGGCCAGUCCUUGUCCUAGAUUCCUCUUAAUGCCUCAAAGGGAUGCGCUUGGCUCACUGGUCUUUGCCAUUUCGGGCAUGAAGCUACACUAAACUUGGGUAGUGGGAGGAUUGGAUCUAGAGCCUGUGGGUUGAUCCUGUGGAGAGAGUACAGUAUAUGCAGUAAUGUGGCCAUGUUUCAGGCUUGAUCUUCGUAGUGGACAGCAAUGACAGAGAGCGUGUGAACGAGGCCCGUGAAGAGCUUAUGAGGAUGCUAGCUGAAGAUGAGCUCCGAGAUGCCGUUCUCUUGGUGUUUGCCAACAAGCAGGUAGGUACCAGCAAGGUCCUUCCCUGAAGGAAAACCUGUAUCAGGGAAGAGAGAGGAGGGGUAAAAGGCGGCCCACAGUGACUGGCUGCUUGUGGUCCCUGCCACUAAUUACUUCUUUCCUUCAGGACCUCCCCAAUGCCAUGAAUGCGGCCGAAAUCACAGACAAGCUGGGGCUGCACUCUCUACGCCACAGGAACUGGUACAUUCAGGCUACCUGUGCCACCAGCGGAGACGGGCUCUAUGAAGGACUAGAUUGGCUGUCUAAUCAGCUCCGGAACCAGAAGUGAACCAGACCCCUCCUUCCCCCUCACUUCCUCUUCUCCGCCCUCAGCUUUCCUCUCAUGUGGCAAACGUGCGACUCUGUGGUCCUGAGUGCCAGAAGCUGUCUCCAUGGGUUGGUCACAGUGUGCAUCGCACCGUGCUGUACAUGUGCAGACGCAGCCUGCAGCCAGGUUUUUAUUUAAUGUAAAUAGUUUCUGUUUCCACUGAGGCAGUUUCUGGUACUCCUAUGCAAUAUUACUUAGCUUUUUUAUUGUAAAAAGAGAAUCAACUCACUGUCAGUACUGAGAAGGGAUUUGGGUGUAGGGGCACCUGGCCUCCGGGAGCCAUUGGGCUGUAGACUGGUGUCGGUAUCCAUUUGGUGGUUGGUUUUUAACCCAAACUCAGUGCA
This 1700-nucleotide long non-coding RNA is filed under the name Rattus norvegicus (Norway rat). RNAcentral's name for it is "long non-coding RNA NONRATT005475". Lineage: Eukaryota; Metazoa; Chordata; Mammalia; Rodentia; Muridae. The record is from RNAcentral.